RNAcentral lists this ribosomal RNA (145 nucleotides) under Pyramimonas parkeae. RNAcentral's name for it is "partial Bacterial small subunit ribosomal RNA". The record is from RNAcentral. Lineage: Eukaryota; Viridiplantae; Chlorophyta; Pyramimonadophyceae; Pyramimonadales; Pyramimonadaceae.
CUCUGGAGGUGGCGGUGGCUGCGCUGCGGGACCACCCGAAGGACGAGAGCGUGCAAGACAACGGCCUGAGCGUGCUGUGGAACGUGUCCGUCAGCCAGGCCCACAAGGACGCUGUGGUGGCGGCGGGGGGUGUGGAGCUCGCCGC